GUUGGGUCAUCUCUAUCCUCCAUGCAUGCCUUAAUCUAGCAGUUUAUACAAAUGUUAUUAAUAACAUUACAAAUUAAUUACUCAAAUCUAAUUAUUACAUAUGUUCAUCACUAAAAUUACGCAGAUCAACCGAUAAAUCAAACCUGCUCGAGGCAGCCUUGAGGGAAGUAGAAAACCCUGUCUCCUAUGUGAGGAAUUAUAACAGCAAGCCCAGCACAUUCAUUCCAUAGUUGAUUAUACAAAUCGACAUCAUCAUUUACUAAAAAAUUAAAUAAAAAAAUGGUGUUAGCAUUUAUUGAAUGAAUAAUUUAUUUCUGUAUAUAAAGUGUGAAAAAAAAAGAAAAAAAUGUUUGUCAUGGACGUGUUGUGAACAACCAUUCCAAUACAAUAUAAAUUAUAGUUUUUUCAUGAAUUAUUUAUUGUGGUGUUAAUGGUGUGAAAAAAAAAACAGAAGAAAAUAAGAAUUUAAAUAAAGAUGGUGGUAGUCAACCGAAAAAUCCAAAUAAGAUAUUUUUAAUGGUUCUAUGCAUUGCUUCAGAGUUACGGAUCAAGAAAAAACAUGAGUUUAACUUGAAACACAUUAAAAAAAUAUAUACACAAGCUGACUGAAAAUUUCCAUAAGAGACUACUAAAAGGUAGAUUCUUCAGAUCUCAAAACGUAGA
Molecule: long non-coding RNA, 663 nt
Filed under: Helianthus annuus (common sunflower)
Lineage: Eukaryota; Viridiplantae; Streptophyta; Magnoliopsida; Asterales; Asteraceae
Description: hypothetical non coding rna
Source: RNAcentral